RNAcentral lists this non-coding RNA (29 nucleotides) under Cricetulus griseus (Chinese hamster). The record is from RNAcentral. Lineage: Eukaryota; Metazoa; Chordata; Mammalia; Rodentia; Cricetidae.
UAUCUGAGAGCUGACACACCCAACAAUGC